Molecule: unclassified non-coding RNA, 246 nt
Filed under: Glomeraceae sp.
Lineage: Eukaryota; Fungi; Glomeromycota; Glomeromycetes; Glomerales; Glomeraceae
Description: partial contains 5.8S ribosomal RNA and internal transcribed spacer 2
Source: RNAcentral
GUGAAUCAUCAAAUCUUUGAACGCAAAUUGCACUCUCUUCGGAGCGUAUGCGUGUUUGAGGGUGAGCGUAAAAAUAAUUGACGUAGUCGCUGUUUCGUGGUUACAUUCGUCGGGAAUUGGGUCAUCUUAGACCUUUGGUUUUUUUAAUCGGCUUAAAAUUUUCAUUACGAUUUUAGGAACGUUUUUAAGGUUUUACUGCUUACUUACGUUUACGUUAUCGAUCUUUAUUAGACGUGGUCGUUGCCU